Molecule: ribosomal RNA, 399 nt
Filed under: uncultured bacterium
Lineage: Bacteria
Description: bacterial SSU rRNA
Rfam family: Bacterial small subunit ribosomal RNA
Source: RNAcentral
UGAGUAACGCGUGAGCAACCUGCCUUUCAGAGGGGGAUAACGUUGGAAACGAACGCUAAUACCGCAUAAUGUAAUUUUGCUGCAUGACGAGAUUACCAAAGGAGCAAUCCGCUGAAAGAUGGGCUCGCGUCCGAUUAGAUAGUUGGUGGGGUAACGGCCUACCAAGUCGACGAUCGGUAGCCGGACUGAGAGGUUCGAACGGCCACAUUGGGACUGAGACACGGCCCAGACUCCUACGGGAGGCAGCAGUGGGGAAUAUUGCACAAUGGGCGCAAGCCUGAUGGCCAGCAACGCCGCGUGAGGGAAGACGGUUUUCGGAUUUGUAAACCUCGUGUCCUUGGUGAAGAUCAUGACGGUAGCCGAGGAGGAAGCCACGGCUAACUACGUGCCAGCCGCAGC